Molecule: ribosomal RNA, 688 nt
Filed under: Glomeromycotina sp. OTU25 DJMC-2012
Lineage: Eukaryota; Fungi; Glomeromycota
Description: eukaryotic LSU rRNA
Rfam family: Eukaryotic large subunit ribosomal RNA
Source: RNAcentral
AAAGAAACUAACAAGGAUUCCCCUAGUAACGGCGAGUGAAGCGGGAACAGCUCAAAUUUUAAAUCUGGCUGCUUCGCAGUCCGAGUUGUAAUUUGAAGGCGUCUGUCGCAUGUGAGACGAUGGCACAAGUCCUCUGGAACGUGGCAUCGUAGAGGGUGAGAAUCCCGUCUCUGGUCGUUGUCUUGCAGGCACACGGCAGGCGAUCCGAAGAGUCGAGUUGUUUGGGAUUGCAGCUCCAAAUGGGUGGUAAACUCCAUCUAAGGCUAAAUAUUGGCGAGAGACCGAUAGCGAACAAGUACCGUGAGGGAAAGAUGAAAAGAACUUUGAAAAGAGAGUAAAACAGUACGUGAAAUUGUUGAAAGGGAAACGCUUGAAGUCAGUCGUGCCGGCGGGGAUUCAGCGAACUUCGCGGAGUGAGCGUAUUUCCUCGCAUGGCAGGUCAGCGUCAGUUUUGCGCUUCGUGAAAGGGCUCGGGUAAGGUGACUCUCUUCGGGGAGUGUUAUAGGCCUGAGCAGAUGCGAUGCGCGGGACUGAGGAUUGCAGCGGACACCCUUCGGGGCGCGGCGACCGAUCCCUGCUCUGUCACCUUCGUCCGAUAGCGUGCUAACGGUCGGGGGAGCGGCGGUUGCACCGGGUUGGCAAGCCGGCGGCUUCGCUAAGGAUGCUGGCGUAAUGGCUUUAAACGACC